RNAcentral lists this ribosomal RNA (640 nucleotides) under uncultured fungus. RNAcentral describes it as "eukaryotic LSU rRNA". It matches the Rfam family "Eukaryotic large subunit ribosomal RNA", at positions 37 to 635 of the family's 3401-position model. Lineage: Eukaryota; Fungi. The record is from RNAcentral.
AGCAUAUCAAUAAGCGGAGGAAAAGAAAAUAACAAUGAUUCCCCUAGUAACGGCGAGUGAAGAGGGAACAGCCCAAAUUUGAAAUCUGGUAGCUUUACAGUUGCCCGAGUUGUAAACUGGAGAGGCAAUGUUCGCGCUGGACCAUAGCAAAGUUUGCUUUAAUGCAACGCCAGAGAGGGUGCUAGCCCCGUUUGUACUAUGGAUGCCCGGUGCAUAGAACAUGUCUUCAAAGAGUCGAGUUGUUUGGGAAUGCAGCUCUAAUUGGGUGGUAAAUUCCAUCUAAGGCUAAAUAACGGCGAGAGACCGAUAGCAAACAAGUACCGUGAGGGAAAGAUGAAAAGCACUUUGGAAAGAGAGUGAAAAAGCACGUGAAAUCACUGAAAGGGAAACGCUUGAGGUUAGACGUGCGUGGUACAAAUCAUCCAUACGUAUGUUUGGUGUAUUUUGUUGCCAAUGCAGGCCAGCAUCGGUUUAGUGUGCUGGAUAAGGGUCAGGGGAAAGUAGCAAUUUCUUCGUGAAAUUGUGUUAUAGACCUUGACUUGAUACAGCGCAUCAGACCGAGGAACGCAGCAUGCCAUUUUGGCGUGGUCCUUUUGGCGUGAUCCUGAGGGACCAUAUGUGCUUAGGAUGCUGGCAAUAA